AUAGAUAUUGAUAUAUGUCAACAAUCUUAACCAACAGGCAAGUUUUAAAACAGUAUAUAGCUUUGGAAUUAAUUUAUUUCCAAUAUAUCCUGAUUGUGCAGCAAAGAUAAGUAAAGGGAGGUAAUAACAAUGUUACAAACUGAAUUUGUCAUGAACCUUGGCUAGAUAUAUAUUUGUUAAAUUAAUGUAAAUAUUUGACAAACAUAAUACAUAAGAUUUCAUAUUCACGCAAAGUAUCUUAACUAAAUUCAUGCACAUGCUAAAAUAACUAUCCUGGUUGCUAGGAUAGAAAAAUGAAAUUUUCAACAUGUAUUAUGCAGUCAGUAAACACACACAUAAGUGUUAAUGACCAUUAAUUUUGUUAAACUUUCGACCAAAUCCAUUACCUGAUCAGAAUCUGAUGAAAAUUACAGCUCCUGAAAAUCCCCAUGGUUGUUGGUGGUGCGGACAGAAUGUGAGCCAGGAAGUACAUCAUUCUGUAAAAGCCCAGACAUUCCAUAUGUAGGAGUACCUUCAUUCUUCAAUUGCAUCUUAGCUAAGAAGUUAACUUGGAUCUGCUUCACAGGGAGUCAUUGAUGUUCAGCUUGGUAGGAUACAGUUUUCUGAUCAGAUAAAAUCGCUUUAUCUUAUCUGGCUGGAAUUUAAAGAGCUGAGACUACCAUCAGGAAAAUCUGCCGUAUAAAAACACUAACUCAGAACAUUGCUACAGGGUCUACCACACAGUAAUGCUGACUAGAAAAUUGCUAUUGAGUCUAUUGCUAUUGAGUCUACCACACAGUAACACGAACCCAGAGCAUUGCUACUAUGUCAUCUAUGCAAUAACUGUGAUUCAGAACAUUGCUACUGAGUCUACCACACAGUAACACUGACCCAGAAUCUUGCUACUGAGUCUACCACACAGCAAUGUGGACUAGGACAUUGCUAUUAAGAGUUUCCAUGCAGUUACACUGACCCGAGUAGUCCACACAGGAAAAACACACAGUAAUGUUGACUUAGGAUGUUGCUGCCGAGUCUUCCAUACUGUUAUAAUGACACCAAAGUGUAGCUUUUCUAUGGAAAAUUCAGACAGAUAACUUCAGUUACCUGUCAAUAGGCGCAAUAAACUCUUUAUUAUCUGUUUAUGUUAACACUCCUGAUACUGAAGGCUGGACUCUGCUGAACACUGGAAAAAAAGCGGAGAUAAACAUGCAACUCACUCUGUGUGACAUGAGUGCAAAAAAUUUUCAAAUGUGACAGAUAUAGACAGAAUUAUUUUAAGUAACAUUCAAGUCAUUGUGUUCAAAGGUGGUAGUGAAAAUCCCUGAAUGUAACAUCAAAGUUCAGAUGACUGUGAAAGAAAGACAGUUAUACUUACUAGUAAAAAUCUACAAAAUUAGAUAUUAAAAUAAUGUUUAAAAGUGACAGUAGGUACAGUAAAAUGUGGAUAAUAUGUGUUUUGAUUGAUAAUGUCAAAUAAUAAAGUGUAACUAAUUGUU
Long non-coding RNA from Mercenaria mercenaria, 1475 nucleotides. RefSeq lists it as uncharacterized. The transcript is spliced from 2 exons. Lineage: Eukaryota; Metazoa; Mollusca; Bivalvia; Venerida; Veneridae. The record is from RefSeq and is a predicted model, not a curated record.